CCUACGGGUGGCAGCAGUGGGGAAUAUUGGACAAUGGGCGAAAGCCUGAUCCAGCCAUGCCGCGUGUGUGAAGAAGGCCUUCGGGUUGUAAAGCACUUUCAGUGGGGAAGAAAGCCUUGGGCUAAUACCCUCGAGGAAGGACAUCACCCACAGAAGAAGCACCGGCUAACUCCGUGCCAGCAGCCGCGGUAAUACGGAGGGUGCGAGCGUUAAUCGGAAUUACUGGGCGUAAAGCGCGCGUAGGCGGUCUGAUAAGCCGGUUGUGAAAGCCCCGGGCUCAACCUGGGAACGGCAUCCGGAACUGUCAGGCUAGAGUGCAGGAGAGGAAGGUAGAAUUCCCGGUGUAGCGGUGAAAUGCGUAGAGAUCGGGAGGAAUACCAGUGGCGAAGGCGGCCUUCUGGACUGACACUGACGCUGAGGUGCGAAAGCGUGGGUAGCAAACAGGAUUAGAUACCCCUGUAGUC
RNAcentral lists this ribosomal RNA (464 nucleotides) under Vreelandella stevensii. Its description in RNAcentral is "partial 16S ribosomal RNA". It matches the Rfam family "Bacterial small subunit ribosomal RNA", at positions 338 to 795 of the family's 1533-position model. Lineage: Bacteria; Pseudomonadati; Pseudomonadota; Gammaproteobacteria; Oceanospirillales; Halomonadaceae. The record is from RNAcentral.